GCCUGAGUGGCUCAGUUGGUUAGAGCAUCUGCCUUCAACGUGGAUCAUGAUCCUGGGGUCUUGGGAUCGAACCCCACAUUGAGCU
RNAcentral lists this transfer RNA (85 nucleotides) under Canis lupus familiaris (dog). It matches the Rfam family "tRNA". From Rfam's summary of the family: Transfer RNA (tRNA) molecules are approximately 80 nucleotides in length. RNAcentral also lists the same sequence under 1 other name. Lineage: Eukaryota; Metazoa; Chordata; Mammalia; Carnivora; Canidae. The record is from Rfam by way of RNAcentral.